UACGUAGGGUGCAAGCGUUGUCCGGAAUUAUUGGGCGUCAAGAGCUUGUAGGCGGUUUGUCGCGUCUGCUGUGAAAUUUCGGGGCUCAACCCCGAACUUGCAGUGGGUACGGGCAGACUAGAGUGUGGUAGGGGAGACUGGAAUUCCUGGUGUAGCGGUGAAAUGCGCAGAUAUCAGGAGGAACACCGAUGGCGAAGGCAGGUCUCUGGGCCAUAACUGACGCUGAGAAGCGAAAGCAUGGGGAGCGAACAGG
Molecule: ribosomal RNA, 253 nt
Filed under: uncultured bacterium
Lineage: Bacteria
Description: partial 16S ribosomal RNA
Rfam family: Bacterial small subunit ribosomal RNA
Source: RNAcentral